RNAcentral lists this RNase P RNA (268 nucleotides) under Leptolyngbyaceae cyanobacterium RM1_405_57. RNAcentral's name for it is "partial RNase P RNA component class A". It matches the Rfam family "Bacterial RNase P class A", at positions 1 to 278 of the family's 367-position model. From Rfam's summary of the family: Ribonuclease P (RNase P) is a ubiquitous endoribonuclease, found in archaea, bacteria and eukarya as well as chloroplasts and mitochondria. Its best characterised activity is the generation of mature 5'-ends of tRNAs by cleaving the 5'-leader elements of precursor-tRNAs. Cellular RNase Ps are ribonucleoproteins. The record is from RNAcentral. Lineage: Bacteria; Bacillati; Cyanobacteriota; Cyanophyceae; Leptolyngbyales; Leptolyngbyaceae.
AGAGUAGGCGCAGGCGGUUACGGACGCAAGUCUGAGGAAAGUCCGGGCUCCCCAAGGACCAAACUUGCUGGGUAACGCCCAGUGCGGGCGACCGUGAGGAAAGUGCCACAGAAACAUACCGCCGAUGGAGGUUCAAACUCACAGGUAAGGGUGCAAGGGUGCGGUAAGAGCGCACCAGCAGCGUCGAGAGGCGCUGGCUCGGUAAACCCCGGUUGGGAGCAAGGUCGAAGGAGCAACGGUUGGUCUUUUCCGGCUCCGGGUAGAAACG